This 1066-nucleotide ribosomal RNA is filed under the name Desulfurococcaceae archaeon. RNAcentral describes it as "partial 23S ribosomal RNA". It matches the Rfam family "Archaeal large subunit ribosomal RNA", at positions 2569 to 2975 of the family's 2987-position model. The record is from RNAcentral. Lineage: Archaea; Thermoproteati; Thermoproteota; Thermoprotei; Desulfurococcales; Desulfurococcaceae.
CCCCAUCGACCCCGCGGUUUGCUACAUCGACGUCGGCUCUUCCCAUCCUGGGGGUGCAGCAGCCCCCAAGGGUGGGGCUGCCCGCCCAUUAAAGGGGAACGUGAGCUGGGUUUAGACGCCGGCGAGGUAGGGGUUAUAUACUUAUACUCCCUUCUCAGUAGGGUAAGUGUGGAGCUCCAGCUUCAAGUUGCUAUUGGAUGUAUCCUCGGAGAUGGUAGGUUAGACGCGAUAGGCCCAGGUAACUCUAGGCUGCUGGUGCGCCAUAGCAUUAAGCAGUACGAGUACUUAGCCUUCAAGCAUAGCAUACUGAAGCCGUACUCUUUAGGCAUAUUCUGUAUCGAGUGGGUUGAUAGGAGGACCGGUAAGCUGUAUAGAGCAGCGGGUUUCAACACUGUAAGGCAUAGAGUAUUUACUGAGCUAUAUCACGCAUUCUACCCGAAGGGCCGUAAGGUUGUGCCGAGGAAUUUAAGUGAAAUCGCAGGCGAAGUUGCUUUGGCUAUACUGAUAGGUGAUGACGGAACCUACGAUCAAUCAUCAAGAACGGUAAAGAUAUCCGUUGACGCAUAUGACCUCGAGAGCCGGAAGAGAAUAAGGGACUGGCUUUUAGAUAUGGGUAUUGAGAGCACGAUAGAGAAGGAUCGAAUAUACAUACUAAGACGCUCCCUACCCCAACUCGUGAGACUCACCUCUAGGUACUUACCUCCUUCAAUGCUUUAUAAGCUCGGAAUCGAUUCCCCACCUCCCGGCGGAACAUACCGUCGUGAGACAGGUCGGACUCUACCCACGGGGGGUGCGGGCCGCCUGAGGGGAAGGCGUCCUCAGUACGAGAGGAACGGGACGUCGCGGCCUCUGGUGGACCGGCCGUUCGACAGAGCGUGCCGGGCAGCUACGCCGUGGGGGGUAACCGCUGAAAGCAUCUAAGCGGGAAUCCCUCCCCGAAAAGAGGCGGCCGUUCCCGGUUUAUGCCGGGAGGAGGGCUCCCGUAGAAGACGGGGUUGAUGGGGCGGGGGUGUACGCCCCGAGGGUUUCCGAGGGGUUCAGCCUGCCGCUCCCAAUCGCCCGACGC